GAUGAACGCUGGCGGCGUGCCUAAUACAUGCAAGUCGAGCGAACGGACGAGAAGCUUGCUUCUCUGAUGUUAGCGGCGGACGGGUGAGUAACACGUGGAUAACCUACCUAUAAGACUGGGAUAACUUCGGGAAACCGGAGCUAAUACCGGAUAAUAUUUUGAACCGCAUGGUUCAAAAGUGAAAGACGGUCUUGCUGUCACUUAUAGAUGGAUCCGCGCUGCAUUAGCUAGUUGGUAAGGUAAUGGCUUACCAAGGCAACGAUGCAUAGCCGACCUGAGAGGGUGAUCGGCCACACUGGAACUGAGACACGGUCCAGACUCCUACGGGAGGCAGCAGUAGGGAAUCUUCCGCAAUGGGCGAAAGCCUGACGGAGCAACGCCGCGUGAGUGAUGAAGGUCUUCGGAUCGUAAAACUCUGCUAUUAGGGAAGAACAUAUGUGUAAGUAACUGUGCACAUCUUGACGGUACCUAAUCAGAAAGCCACGGCUAACUACGUG
RNAcentral lists this ribosomal RNA (497 nucleotides) under uncultured bacterium. RNAcentral describes it as "partial 16S ribosomal RNA". It matches the Rfam family "Bacterial small subunit ribosomal RNA", at positions 28 to 507 of the family's 1533-position model. The record is from RNAcentral.